Molecule: ribosomal RNA, 253 nt
Filed under: uncultured bacterium
Lineage: Bacteria
Description: partial 16S ribosomal RNA
Rfam family: Bacterial small subunit ribosomal RNA
Source: RNAcentral
UACGUAGGGGGCAAGCGUUGUCCGGAUUUAUUGGGCGUAAAGAGCGUGUAGGCGGCCGCACAGGUCCGUUGUGAAAACUGGAGGCUUAACCUUCAGACGUCGAUGGAAACCGUGCGGCUAGAGUCCGGAAGAGGAGAAUGGAAUUCCUGGUGUAGCGGUGAAAUGCGCAGAUAUCAGGAAGAACACCCGUGGCGAAAGCGGCUCUCUGGAACGGUACUGACGCUGAGACGCGAAAGCGUGGGGAGCGAACAGG